UACGAAGGGGGCUAGCGUUGCUCGGAAUCACUGGGCGUAAAGCGCACGUAGGCGGACUCUUAAGUCGGUGGUGAAAUCCUGGAGCUCAACUCCAGAACUGCCUUCGAUACUGGGAGUCUCGAGUCCGAGAGAGGUGAGUGGAACUGCGAGUGUAGAGGUGAAAUUCGUAGAUAUUCGCAAGAACACCAGUGGCGAAGGCGGCUCACUGGCUCGGUACUGACGCUGAGGUGCGAAAGCGUGGGGAGCAAAAGGG
This 253-nucleotide ribosomal RNA is filed under the name uncultured bacterium. RNAcentral's name for it is "partial 16S ribosomal RNA". It matches the Rfam family "Bacterial small subunit ribosomal RNA", at positions 524 to 776 of the family's 1533-position model. The record is from RNAcentral.